This 72-nucleotide transfer RNA is filed under the name Ictidomys tridecemlineatus (thirteen-lined ground squirrel). Its description in RNAcentral is "Spermophilus tridecemlineatus (thirteen-lined ground squirrel) tRNA". It matches the Rfam family "tRNA". Rfam says of the family: Transfer RNA (tRNA) molecules are approximately 80 nucleotides in length. Their secondary structure includes four short double-helical elements and three loops (D, anti-codon, and T loops). Further hydrogen bonds mediate the characteristic L-shaped molecular structure. tRNAs have two regions of fundamental functional importance: the anti-codon, which is responsible for specific mRNA codon recognition, and the 3' end, to which the tRNAs corresponding amino acid is attached (by aminoacyl-tRNA synthetases). tRNAs cope with the degeneracy of the genetic code in two manners: having more than one tRNA (with a specific anti-codon) for a particular amino acid; and 'wobble' base-pairing, i.e. permitting non-standard base-pairing at the 3rd anti-codon position. The record is from Rfam by way of RNAcentral. Lineage: Eukaryota; Metazoa; Chordata; Mammalia; Rodentia; Sciuridae.
GGUGUUGUGGCUCAGUGGUAGAGCACUUGCCUAGCAUGUGUGAGGUCCUGGGUUCGAUCCUCAGCACCACAU